Long non-coding RNA from Daphnia magna, 1128 nucleotides. RefSeq lists it as uncharacterized. Lineage: Eukaryota; Metazoa; Arthropoda; Branchiopoda; Diplostraca; Daphniidae. The transcript has 3 exons. The record is from RefSeq and is a predicted model, not a curated record.
GAGAAAUCAAAUUGGAAAUCACCAGAAGAGAAAUUUACUUCGUUAUUAGCGGCAGAUUGGUUGGGCUGGAUUGCUCAACUAGAAUCGUCUUUGGCUGAUAAAAUUCAUGGUUUGAGCCAUAAAGAGCUCCCAUCCCAUGGAAUUCUCUAUUGGGAUGCUAUUCAGUCACGUUUUAACCUUCGCAUUAGGGCCAGUGGCGUUAUUCAACGAUGCUUUGCCCACUUCGGUUCCCUGAUGACAACCGCCUUCGCAGUUGCAAGUUGCAACGUCCAACCCCGCAGUACGAGUUCCAGCUGUGCGAUCACGACAAUAGCGAUCGGCAUCCACCAGUCCACACGUCAUCGCAAGAAUAGCGAAAACAACAGAGAUGCUGCACGAAUAAAUUUGGCAUCGCUGUUGGUAUUUCCUACAUCUACAUGUACGGACAGAAGAAAACAAAAUAUUAGUCAACGUGGUGAUCUUGAACGACUUGUUGCGUUUUCAUGGUCGUGACGAUUCUUUGUUUACACAUUGCUCUGUACUUGUAUUUCUGUUUAUACUUGGAUAAGGAUACAGUGUGAGUUAUCAGUUCGACUAGUGCUAGAGUUCUCUGUCUUGUAGUUGGCAAUGUCAUGUGUCUUAACAGUUGCUGCAUUUAUUGUGGGAAAAAAAUAUUGUGAACGACGUCGUCUAUGGAUUGGUGCUGAGCAAUCUGUAGACUUGCUUUAUGCUCCUUCACCCAGUUCACCAUGUACGUUUUUAUUAACAAGUGAAAAAAGAAAAGAUAAAAGGAUCAGCUGAUUGCCAUACGGUGGUGUUGAUUUUGGGAGUGCAAAAGCCACAAACUAACCGCCUAUUGCAAACCAAACGUCUGUCGAUGGCUUUUCUAUGUUAAAAUGAAAUAAGUUCUCUAUUUUAAUUUUGGGUACUCCCUUGCAGUCGGUUGAAAAUUUUUCAAGCGCCAACUGUAUGACGGGAUGUUGGUAGUCGGCAUGGAUGAUUUCAUUUGCCACAAAGUAGUCAUCCAAAAUAUGUGAAGUAUAAAUGUGAUAUAAUUGUGUUUCGAAUAAAUAUUGUGAAUUGCUCUAAAUAUUGUUCUUAUCGCCAUUAGAUGUUAAAAAAUAUAUAUUUCAUCAUCAAACUUGAAAA